This is a long non-coding RNA of Pseudophryne corroboree (corroboree frog), 387 nucleotides long. RefSeq lists it as uncharacterized. Lineage: Eukaryota; Metazoa; Chordata; Amphibia; Anura; Myobatrachidae. The transcript has 2 exons. The record is from RefSeq and is a predicted model, not a curated record.
GGAAGCAUGCAGCAGAGUUGGGCAGAGCAAAUGCAGUGGGAGCUGUACCAUCACCACUGCACACCGUAUCACAAAUGUGGGAGAAGGAAGCCUAACACCGCAGAGAAGACACCAGCAAAGACUUCUUCCCAGAAAAACUUGGCGCUGUCAGUGAUGAGCAUGGGACGCGUUUCCAUCAGCAGAUUUCUAUGAUGGAAAAGAGGUACCAAGGCAAACGGAGUUCAAGUAUACUGGCUGACUAUUGCUGGACCAUGAAGAUAGACAUCCCAAAGGCAAAAUAUGACUGAAAAUCAUAAUCUUUAACUUUUUAGAUCAGCCAGAAUGAGGUGUAUAUUUAUAAUUUAUACUUAUGAAAAUUCUAAUUUAAUAAAACGUUUUUCACAAAAA